Long non-coding RNA from Cyprinus carpio carpio, 6351 nucleotides. Lineage: Eukaryota; Metazoa; Chordata; Actinopteri; Cypriniformes; Cyprinidae. The record is from Ensembl.
ACACAAUGACAAAUCAGACAAACUGGAAGAGGUAGGUAUAGUUUGAGACAGCGCCAUUGGUUUGGGAUUACUCACCGCUGACUGGACCACUGGAGCUGAUUAAUAACUGCUGCUAUUAAAGUGUUGACACGCGUUGGUGAUUGGAGUUACUUUGCACAAAGUGUAAAUAGAUAGUAAGCGCAAUUCAUACAAUAAAUUUAAACUGAGCUACUUUAAGACCAUCUUCGAACUUUCUACCAUGACUCUGCUGUUCUUUCUGUAUACAUUGAUUGCCAGAUGUUUUUUCCAGUCAGCGGUGAGUAAUCCCAAACUAAUGGUGCUUGUUCAAACUAUACCUACCUCUUCCAGUUUGUCUGAUUUGUCUUUGUGUUUUCUGACUUGUUAUUUUGUUUUCGAAUUUGUCAUUGUAUUUUCUGUCUUGUUAUAAUGUUUUCAGAAUUGUUGUUGUGUUUUCUGAAUUGUUAUUUUGUUUUUUUAGAUUUGCAUUUGCGUUUGUAAUUUGUUAUUUUGUUUCAGAAUUGUAAUCUGUUUUGCACUUUUUCGGCCUCAGUACCUUAAUCCAGAAAUUAAAAUUUACAUCAAAUGAAACAUGAAUGUAUGAAUUUUCUGAAAUGCAAUAACUUAACCACUCUUCCUUUUCAUUUCAGAUGAUCUCCACAUGGAGUUGAUUUAGAUCUGAAGUGUGCCAGGUUUCUAAUGUCCACAUUCUGUUAAAGUAUUUAUUGUCUCAAAUGUCUUAUUUCUACAGCUUGAGAUUGGAAGGUUUGUUGGGAGCCCUUCGUCUCUCUUGGCAGCAGACAAGUGUGACGGCACGUUUUUGCGCACAUCCAAGAACCUUCAGUCCUGCCUACUGAUACCUCGAUCUGGUCUCACUCAGCCAUCUUGUUCUUCAUAAAUUUUUCACCAUGCUGUGAUCAAAGCUCACCACUGUAUUUGUGUUCUGUUGUAAUGGCCAAGGUUGUAACAUGAAAACCUACUUAAAAUUAUGAUCCAUCCUAUAUCAGGCUUACUGUUGACAUGGCUUUUUCUGUGUGGGCUUUUAACAUGAUUGAUUUAUUUUGUUUAAACGGGCAGGAAGGUGUAGGAAUGUUUGGUGCUGUAGGCGUGUCAGUGGGUGAUCUGCAUUUAUAUGCCGUGCACUUGUCUCAAUAGUGCAGCCAGGCCAUGCAGCUGUUUUUUUUUUUUUUUUGAGAGAUAGAUAUGAGCUAAAGUCACUUCUACAUCAUGAAAAUAAAAUAAAAACUUUCUUCAAUUAAAAACUAUUUAAUAAAAAUACAUACUGUGCAGAAGUGGGUGUUUUCAAUUAUUCUCUAUAAAAGCUGAUCAGGGAUCUUCUGCAGAGGAUUGUGGGUUUGAACGUGGGGUGAAGAAAGUGUUGAGAGCAUCCAGAAAUUAAGGGUGCAUUCACACCUGUCUUGUUUGGUUCGAUUGAAUCGAACUCAAGUUUGUUUCCCCCCUUGAUGCAGAUCUCACUCGGGUGUGGACCAAACAACUGCACCGAGACCCAGCUGAAGAGGUAGUCUCGGUCCACUUCCAAAUGAACUCUGGUAUGCUUGAGAAUUUCUGUCCAAUGAAUGCAUGACCUUUAGCACGUUUGGUUUUGUUUACAAUUUCUGGUUCUGCAAAAAGGGCAGUGUGAAAGCGAACCACACCAAACAAACAUCCAAACAAAAAAAAAUCAAUAUUGUACUUGGUCCGGACCAAAGCAAGUGAACUAGUGGACUUUCCUGGUGUGAAUACACCUUAAGAAAUACUUGACAAUACUGUGUUUUAAGAAGAGGGACAUUCUCUUUCUGUGUGGCCCAGCUGUUCUUUUUCCUGUUGACUCAAGUAGACUUGCCAUGCAUGUGAUUCUCAGAUCGAUUUCCCCAGCUGCCGACUGCUGAAGACCAUCUUACCUAGGCUUUGCUGCCUUUCAUGUUCCUUAAUCUUGGGCUAUGUUAGCAUAAUGCUAAUGUUUAGUCUUCAUAGCUGCUCUGGGGGUCUUGUGAGGUGGAGAGAAAUAUUCCCUCAGUUCCACCUGCACCUGCAAUAAUAGACAACAAUUAUUUUGGAAGAUUUUUUAUUUCCGACUGCUGUUUAAUAUAACACUGGUUGUUGAGUUUAACAAAAUAAAUCAUUUUCAAAAAGAAAUUUAUUUACUGCUUAUUUACUGUAUUUUGAUAUAUUGUAUAACUGAAACUGUUCAGCUUAGGGAAAUACAUUUCACAAGAUGAAAAUAUUUUUAGUUUUGUUUAAACCUUCAAAUGUCUAAAUAUAUUGUUUAAAUAUAUUUGUUAUUGUAAAUAAAAUACUCCCCUUCCUUUUCCUUCCUUCUCACCUGACGAACAAGGGAAAUACUACACUGGUGCCGAAACCCGGGAGUGGAAAGAGAAUGACGUCGCCACGAUGCAAACACCUUCAGGACCAUCGGGAUCGCCAUUUGCAGAGAUCAUCACAUCGCUCGUGGGUCUACAUCAAGAAAACCACCAAGACCUGCUGGACUUGCGGGCGGACCAGGACCAUCGGUUCCAAGCCCUGAUGCAAGCCCAGCAGGAGGACCACAAGCUGUUCCGGAGCUUGCUGGACCGGGAGGUUCAGACGAGGUCGGCUUCCCCCAGUUUCAUCCCCCCCACUCACAUGUCUCUCACCAAGAUGGGGCCCGCGGAUGACCCAGAGGCUUUCCUGGACUUGUUUGAGAGGAUGGCCGAGGCAUGUGAGUGGGCAUCGACCAGCUGGCCAGUGCGGUUGAUUCCGCUGCUGUUGGGGGAAGCCCAGAAGGCUGCCCAACAACUGCCCAUCCAAAACCUCCUAGUGUACGCAGACUUAAAAUGGGCAAUCCUCCAGAGGGUCGGCCUCAGUCCAGAACAGCACCAUCAAUGCUUCCGAUCAUUGGAAUUGACGGAAGCAGGCCGACCCUUUGUCUUGGCCCAGCAGCUCUGGGACUCGUGCCGCAAAUGGCUGUUGGCCGGAGGAAGCGAUGCCGAGGCCAUCCUCGACAAGGUGGUACUGGAGCAGUUCGUCUCCUGUCUGCCGAGGAGGAAGGCCCAGUGGGUCCAGUGCCACCAGCCGGCGUCGAUGGAUCUGGCCAUCCAACUGGCGGAGGACCAGUUGGUGGCAUGCUCCGGUGUCGGCCAACCCCUCCCAUCUAUCUCUCUCUCUCUCUCUCUCUCUCUCUCUCUCUUCCCUUGUUCCUCUUUCUUCCUCUUCCCCUAAUCCCGUUCCCAGGACCCGUUUUGCUGGCCCACCGAGGGCCGCCCCCCCGCUGGAGGAUGGGAACCGAGGCCCCGCCCGGGGAGUGGGGGCACCCCACCAGGAGGGGCUCAACGAGGCUCCUACCAUCUCCCCACGCCAAUUCCUUGACCCACUUCCUGCCACUAGGGCGGCGGGGAAGCCUGGGCCAGCCUGUUGGCUUUGCGGGGAUCUGGGCCAUUUUGUGGAUCGAUGCCCAGCCAUGGAGGUGGGGACAUUGGUCCGGAUCCCAGAUGACCUGCAGGCCGCCCCCAAUCAAGCCGGGUUAUACCAGAUACCUGUGAGUAUUAAGGGGGGUACUUAUCGGGUUUUGGUGGAUUCAGGUUGUAACCAGACCUCCAUCCAUCAAAGCCUGAUACAAUCCGGGACAUUGGCUACGGGCCGCAUGGUUAAGGUGAGGUGUGUGCACAGGGAUAUAGUGGAAUACCCCCUAAAAGCCAUAUCCAUCAAAUUUAGGGGUCAAAAGCAUUGUGUGGAGGUGGCGGUUAGCCCGCGCCACUGGCAUCCGCUAAUUUUGGGAACCAAUUAGCCGGCUUUUUAACAGUUCUUGGGAUUUUUAACAGCGGAUGUCUCUAGGAAAACGAGAUGGCAGGAAAGGGGGGCGAGCACUCAGGUUGGAGAGACUGUGCCGGGACCCAGUGGGACAGUUUCAGAGGAACCGAGCGGCUUGGCGAGGCUAAACCUCUCCAUUCGUGAUGACUUUCCCCUGGAACAAUCCCAAGACGAGACGCUCAAACAUGCAUUUGAACAGGUCCGUUCCAUCGAUGGGCAGAUCCUCCAACCUGACCGCACGCUCUCCUAUCCUUAUUUUGCCGUUAUUUAAAAACAGGUUGUAUCGAGUGACCCAAGAUGCUCAGACAAAGGAAGAUACAACCCAAUUCACCUCUCACCCUCGCAGCUCACUGACACCACACGUUUACAAAGUUUGCAGAUGUGUUUUUGCCCCUGCCUGGUCGUACUAAUCUGAUUCAGCACCAUAUUGAGACAGAGCCAGGCGUGGUGGUGCACGGACGGCCAUACAGAUUGCCUGAACCCAAAAAUGGUUCAGAUGGAAUUAGAGGCAAUGCUGGAGAUGGGAGUAAUCGAGGAGUCCCACAGUAACUGAUCGAGCCCGAUAGUUUUGGUUCCUAAAACGGACGGCUUGGUGCGGUUUUGGGUGGACUUUCGCAGGGUGAAUGCAGUGUCGAAGUUUGAUGCUUAUCCAAUGCCGCGGAUUGACGAGCUGCUCGAUGGGUUAGGUACAGCUCGUUUUUAUUCGACAUUGGACUUAACGAAAGUAUAUUGGCAGAUCCCCUUAUCUCCCAUGUCCAAAGAAAAAACGGCCUUCACCACGCCGUUUGGCUUACACCGAUUUGUGACGCUUCCUUUCAGGUUGUUCGGGGCCCCGGCCACGUUUCAGCGCCUCAUGGAUAGAGUUCUGCGGCCCCAUGCUGCCUAUUGGCAGCGGCAUCUGGAGCAUUUGAGGGCCGUCCUCGGAGCGCUGAGACAGGCGGGGCUAACGGCCAACCCAGAAGAAGUGCGCAGUUGGGCGGGUGGAGGUAAGGUAUCUAGGCUUCCACUUGGGUCAUGGGCAGGUGCAUCCCCAAAUUGACAAGACAGCAGCAAUUGCAACCUGUCCCAGGCCAAAGACCAAAAAGAAGGUGAGGCAGUUCCUGGGGCUGGCGGGAUUCUCACCAGCCCGCUGACUGACUUCACUAAAAAGGAGGUGCCAGAUAUGGUCCAGUGGACAGAGCAGUGCCAACAGGCUUUUACCCAGGUUAAGGCUGCCCUGUGUGGCGGGCCGCUCCUGCAUUCUCCUAACUUUUCUCUCCCUUUUCUGUUGCAGAUUGAUGCAUCAAACAGGGGGCUGGGCGCUGUCCUGUCCAAGGAGGUGGAGGGGGAGGACCACCCGAUGCUGUACAUUAGUCGUAAGCUCUCAAAAAGAGAGACUAAGUACAGCACCAUAGAGAAGGAGUGUUUGGCCAUCAGGUGGGCGGUACUCACCCUUCGCUAUUACCUCCUGGGGCGGGAGUUCACCCUCUGUUCAGACCACGCGCCCCUGCAGUGGCUCCACCACAUGAGGGAUGGCUCCCCAGCCUGAGUCGGGCAGUGGGGGUAUUUGGCGGGGGAGGCGUGGUUCAGCGAGGUCUGCGACGGGAGAGAGAACAGGGAGACGAGCGGCGGAUCCCUGCAAAUGUGCCGCUCCCUGUUCCCAGAUCGUCAGGAGCUCUGCCUCAAGGGGCCACAGGGUUCUACCUGCUAGUUAAUGGCAUUGCCACCUCCCUCAGCAAAGCGCAGAGACACACAGACUGCAUACAGAAGGCAGCAAGUCUGAGGUGCAAGUCCAUGGACUGCUAAUGAGACUAGAUCUACGGUUUGUGGUGUGCUAAACCUGGCUUCUUUAAUACUAUAUCAAAGGCCCAAUCAAAGGGAUAAUUUCCUCCAGCAGCCUGUCUCUGAGCAUCACUGGUGGUCCCUUCUUCACUUUGGAAUGUCCAAGUAUCUAGUUCGGGGUGGGCAUUAGGCUAACUUCAUACCUCAUUUGAUGUGAGGUCUGUUGAUGUGAUCAAUUGCUUGAGUGAAGUCGCCAGAGUCUUUCAUCAGGCAUCUGCUCACAGAAGGAGGUGGACGUUUGACAGGAGAGGCGUGGAUGUGUCCAGCCAGUGGAACCUGGCGUCUGCUUGAAUGCCCGUCAACACUGGUGGGAUGAAUGCUUAUGAUAGGUGAUCUGCAAAAGGACUGCUCUAUUAAAUUAUCCUGAUAUACCCCUGGAGGUCAAAGGCAGGAUGUCCUAAGCAAGUCCAGCAGGAUUAGGUUGAUGAAGUCUUCAGGCCAUCCUUUAAAGAAACUCACAAGCCUUUUCCAGUCCUCCUUUCUCUGUGCCAGGACUUCACAGUCCAGAAAAAGAGGAAGAACAAAGUAGAUUAAAACCAUUCCAGACUCUUCUCUCUCUCUCCCUGCUUGUUCUUCAAAGACCGGACUCCCAGAUAGGGUCUUCGAUAACACAACACUUGGACAUGAGGAGAUUUAUUUUGGAGAGAGAAUAGAUAACAUGCCAAGACCAGAACGGUCACUUGAGUGCACAAUUAUAAAUAAACACUGGAUAUUCCUUUUCAGUUUUUGGAUGUGGUCAUGUGUCUC